This 253-nucleotide ribosomal RNA is filed under the name uncultured bacterium. RNAcentral describes it as "partial 16S ribosomal RNA". It matches the Rfam family "Bacterial small subunit ribosomal RNA", at positions 524 to 776 of the family's 1533-position model. The record is from RNAcentral.
UACGUAGGGGGCUAGCGUUGUCCGGAAUCAUUAGGCGUAAAGCGCGUGUAGGCGGUUCGGUAAGUCCGCUGUGAAAGUCGAGGGCUCAACCCUCGAAUGCCGGUGGAUACUGUCGGACUAGAGUGCGGAAGAGGCGAGUGGAAUUCCUGGUGUAGCGGUGAAAUGCGCAGAUAUCAGGAGGAACACCAAUUGCGAAGGCAGCUCGCUGGGACGUUACUGACGCUGAGACGCGAAAGCGUGGGGAGCAAACAGG